RNAcentral lists this ribosomal RNA (448 nucleotides) under Bifidobacterium longum. Its description in RNAcentral is "bacterial SSU rRNA". It matches the Rfam family "Bacterial small subunit ribosomal RNA", at positions 38 to 498 of the family's 1533-position model. The record is from RNAcentral. Lineage: Bacteria; Bacillati; Actinomycetota; Actinomycetes; Bifidobacteriales; Bifidobacteriaceae.
GGCGGCGUGCUUAACACAUGCAAGUCGAACGGGAUCCAUCGGGCUUUGCUUGGUGGUGAGAGUGGCGAACGGGUGAGUAAUGCGUGACCGACCUGCCCCAUGCACCGGAAUAGCUCCUGGAAACGGGUGGUAAUGCCGGAUGUUCCAGUUGAUCGCAUGGUCUUCUGGGAAAGCUUUCGCGGUAUGGGAUGGGGUCGCGUCCUAUCAGCUUGACGGCGGGGUAACGGCCCACCGUGGCUUCGACGGGUAGCCGGCCUGAGAGGGCGACCGGCCACAUUGGGACUGAGAUACGGCCCAGACUCCUACGGGAGGCAGCAGUGGGGAAUAUUGCACAAUGGGCGCAAGCCUGAUGCAGCGACGCCGCGUGAGGGAUGGAGGCCUUCGGGUUGUAAACCUCUUUUAUCGGGGAGCAAAGCGUGAGUGAGUUACCCGUGAAUAAGCCCCGGCA